Molecule: long non-coding RNA, 1222 nt
Filed under: Numida meleagris (helmeted guineafowl)
Lineage: Eukaryota; Metazoa; Chordata; Aves; Galliformes; Numididae
Description: lncRNA (ENSNMEG00000005019.1)
Source: RNAcentral
CGCGCGGCGUGGGAUGGGGAGACCCUUCGCCCUGUCCGCCCGCCUCCCUCGCUGUCGGCCCCGGCGUGCUGGGCGGCACAUCCCCGCGGAGAACCGCGCGCUUGGAACCAUCGCGGCUUCGGCCGUGGGAAGAAGGAAGGCGGUCCCCUGCUCGCACGGAACGCUGCGCAGCCGGGCCGCUGUCUGUCCCCUCGGCGGUGGAUGUCCUGCCCUCUCGCUUUCCCCCACGGGUGACCCCACGCUGCCGGCUGCGGUUGUGUUUUUGGGAGAGUCCUUCUGGCUCUGCACGGCACUUGCAAGCAAGUCCCAGGUGGGCUCAGUCGCUGCAGGCUGAGCAGCCCUGUCCAGCAGCCCGGCAGAGGGGAAGCUGCUGCCGCUCUUGGCUGCAGGUCCAGCUCUCAGCGAGGCUGAGAACGUGCUCCCCAAAGGCGGGCGCAGAACAGGAGUGCAGCGCAUACCUGUGGCCAUCCCACCGAGAGGCACCAGCCGGCUCACCGAGUGUCCGGGCAAACAGCACGAACAGCUCCGCGAUAUUCUCCUCUCCGGAGCACUUAGCACGAUGGUCCGCUACUGGGAAACAUCCUCACAGUAAAGGAAUGUUUUCCCCCGUGGCAGCCAGGGCACGCCGCUGGCUCCUGUUGAGCCCGCUGUCACCAGCACCCCAGGUCCCUUCCUGCAGGGCUGCUCUCCAGCCCAUCCAGCUGGAUCUUCACGACAGCCUGCAUGCACACUGGCACACCUAUGCUGCUCCAGGUGCCACAGCACUGACACGUGAGCCCAUGCACGCACUCCCAUACCAGAGAGCCCAGGAAAACAGCUAGAAUUGGAGUUCAGAAAGGAGGCAGGACCAGCUGUGUUGAUCACAGGGCACAGCCAGGCAAGCAUCCUGACCAGCAAACUAAUUGUGCACUGCUGGCCCUUUCAGUCCCCUUUUCUCACAUUUUUCCACAUUUGUUCUCCCCAGGCCACCUCAGUUUGUGGCCUUUCCCACAUUCGAUUCCUGCCCUGAGCAGCUCUCCAUAAGCUCUGCCCAAUUCUGAAAUGCUCUUCCCCUGCAUUCCACAUCAUGUCUCAGGUUCCUGGCAAAGUCCUGAGGAUGCUUGGGCUUUGACUCCUCAGGAUGGGUUUUACGGCUUUACUGGGACAGCUCUGGGAGGGCCCGGGGCAGGGUGCCUGUUCUGCCAAGUCCCUCACCUGAGUUUGCCUGGCUUUGUGUCCCUCU